UGAGAAAUAGUUAUACGUAAUAUCUUUUGCAGAUGACUUUUUGAAAAGAAAUCUAUGGACAAAGAAGCUGUUUUUCAACCUUUGCUGACAACUAAAGAGCAAAGAUGUGCUCUUAGUCCAUGGGUUUCAUACCUGCUCACUGAACACAGG
RNAcentral lists this long non-coding RNA (150 nucleotides) under Chrysolophus pictus (golden pheasant). Its description in RNAcentral is "lncRNA (ENSCPIG00010009499.1)". Lineage: Eukaryota; Metazoa; Chordata; Aves; Galliformes; Phasianidae. The record is from RNAcentral.